GCAGUCGUGGCCGAGUGGUUAAAGCGAUGGACUAGAAAUCCAUUGGGGUCUCCCCGCACAGGUUCGAAUCCUGUCGACUGCG
Molecule: non-coding RNA, 82 nt
Organism: Ixodes scapularis (black-legged tick)
Lineage: Eukaryota; Metazoa; Arthropoda; Arachnida; Ixodida; Ixodidae
Source: Rfam